Molecule: long non-coding RNA, 1610 nt
Filed under: Lathyrus oleraceus (garden pea)
Lineage: Eukaryota; Viridiplantae; Streptophyta; Magnoliopsida; Fabales; Fabaceae
Description: Pisum sativum (pea) long non-coding RNA (PSAT_LNC018156)
Source: RNAcentral
ACACAUCCUAAUCAAUUAAUAAAAAAACCAACAAAAAAAAUCUAAAGAAAAGAAGAAACAGAUGGGCCAAGAAAUGGUGAUUCUGGCCCAAUGGAUGAAUUGAGGGAGGUCCCAAUCGCAAGGGGGUAUGAACCCGACCUAGGGAGUAUGAGGCCAGAAUUCGUUUCGGCUUAAACUGGAGUGAACAGGCCCAGUCUGUUUGGAUAUGAGGGAAUAUGAAGGCUCGUCUUCUUCCUAUUUCUCAUGCUCAGCAUCUCACCACCCAGAAAAGGAAAACCCAGGUUUUGACGGCGAACCUAGCCGCACCGGAUUUUGUCACCGAUGGCAGCGAUGAAAAAUGAUGAAACACACUCGAGCCAGUUUUGACGGCGAACCUAGCCGCACCGGAUUUUGUCACCGAUGGCAGCGAUGAAAAAUGAUGAAACACACUCGAGCCACUCUCCGCCUCCAUCUAUUCUAAUCGAAACAAGAAACAACAAACUCCACCUAACAAAUCAAAGCUACCGCGAUACCUCGACAGAACAAAAUAGACAUUGAAUCAAUAAACGGAAUGAAGCUUCGACUUUGAUUCGUAUUACAAUAGAUGAAUCAGAAAUGUGAAAUGAAUAUAGAGCCUACCGGUGAUGACAGAUGAGGAUUCGUCGACGAUUUCUAAUUCGAAACUCGGGUAACUCGGAACUCUAUCCGAUUCUUCGUUCUUCUUCUUUCUUCUUCUUCUACACAAUAUUUCUUCUUUUGCUUGAAUCCCUUAGUCUGUAGGAUGACGUCUGAUGAUGUUGUGUGUUGUCCUUGUUGAUCUGAAUAUGUGAGAGUGAUUAUGGAGAGGUUGUGAGUGUUUAUGUUUGAGAGAGAGGGAACUCUGAUUGAGAUUGUGAAAUGUGAAACUGAGAGUGGAUCGAUGAUGAAUGAAGAUGAAGAACGAUGAUGAAUUAUGGAGAAUGAUGAUGAUUGUGAGUUGAAGGUGACGAUGAAUCGUGGAGAACGAUGAUGAUGAAUUGUGAGUUGAAGGUGAUGAUUGAAUCUCUGUUAAGAAAAAAUGAUUUGAGAGAGAGCAAUAAUUGAAGAAUUAGGAAUUUAUAGAGAUGGGGUUUAUAACAAACUCGGGUAGCUUGGGCAAUUACAGCUAGGUGUUAGGGAAGUUUAAAUUCUGUUAAGAUCUGGAUUUCAAUUAUGUUAGAAGGGGCUUGGGUUGAAAUUUCUGUUAAUAAUGAGAUUUUGUUAGAUGCUCUUGUUAGUGGUAUUACCUUUAUUAUGGCUUAUGUUAGUACCGUUUAAAUGCAAAGUCUGUUAAAUGGAAUAUUAGUAAUAAGCUGGUGAAUUGUUAUUCUUUAUGAAUGAGUUGUGUUUUUUCAAUUUUGGUUAAAUGACAUGUUAAAUGGAAAUUUGUGUUCAACUGAAUUUAUGGGAUCAAAAUUGUCUCAACUCUAUUUCUUCUUAAACCUCCUUAUUAAGUGAUUCUAAUGGUAAAUUCAAGACCAUUAAGCUAUGGGUAAACUUAACGUCAAUAAAACCAGAGUGGUCACCGCGCUUUUAUUAUUUCUAAGGGAAAAGGGAAAAGUAAGAACAAAACCCAAAGAUCAGAAGUUUUCAAAUCAAAACUAAUAAAAUGC